AAUUCUCAACUCUCCUGUGCUGUUUUGCAGAGGGGAGCUUGGAUUGUGGAGGCUUGCUGGCUGCUUGUUGGCGGUCAGCUCCUCUGAAAUGCAUUAGCGGAACCGUUUGCGAUCUGCCACAAGUGUGAUAAAUUAUCUGCACUGGCGAGGGGAUUGCUCUCUGUGUUGUUCAGCUUCUAAUCGUCUCAAUCUGACGAGACAACUUCCUGAAUGC
RNAcentral lists this unclassified non-coding RNA (214 nucleotides) under uncultured Agaricus. RNAcentral describes it as "sequence contains ITS2". The record is from RNAcentral. Lineage: Eukaryota; Fungi; Basidiomycota; Agaricomycetes; Agaricales; Agaricaceae.